Molecule: ribosomal RNA, 200 nt
Filed under: uncultured bacterium
Lineage: Bacteria
Description: partial 16S ribosomal RNA
Rfam family: Bacterial small subunit ribosomal RNA
Source: RNAcentral
AGAGUUUGAUCCUGGCUCAGAAUCAACGCUGGCGGCGCGCUUAACACAUGCAAGUCGCACGAGAAAGGGGCAACCUGAGUAAAGUGGCGUACGGGUGAGUAACACGUGGAUCAUCUACCUCUUGGUGGGGAAUACCCCCGGGAAACUGGGGACAAUACCGCAUAAGUCCGUAAGGAGAAAGCAGCAAUGCGCCGAGAGAG